Molecule: ribosomal RNA, 1374 nt
Filed under: uncultured bacterium
Lineage: Bacteria
Description: bacterial SSU rRNA
Rfam family: Bacterial small subunit ribosomal RNA
Source: RNAcentral
GAUGAACGCUGGCGGCGUGCCUAAUACAUGCAAGUCGAGCGAACGGACAAGAAGCUUGCUUCUCUGAUGUUAGCGGCGGACGGGUGAGUAACACGUGGAUAACCUACCUAUAAGACUGGGAUAACUUCGGGAAACCGGAGCUAAUACCGGAUAAUAUUUUGAACCGCAUGGUUCAAAAGUGAAAGACGGUCUUGCUGUCACUUAUAGAUGGAUCCGCGCUGCAUUAGCUAGUUGGUAAGGUAACGGCUUACCAAGGCAACGAUGCAUAGCCGACCUGAGAGGGUGAUCGGCCACACUGGAACUGAGACACGGUCCAGACUCCUACGGGAGGCAGCAGUAGGGAAUCUUCCGCAAUGGGCGAAAGCCUGACGGAGCAACGCCGCGUGAGUGAUGAAGGUCUUCGGAUCGUAAAACUCUGUUAUUAGGGAAGAACAUAUGUGUAAGUAACUGUGCACAUCUUGACGGUACCUAAUCAGAAAGCCACGGCUAACUACGUGCCAGCAGCCGCGGUAAUACGUAGGUGGCAAGCGUUAUCCGGAAUUAUUGGGCGUAAAGCGCGCGUAGGCGGUUUUUUAAGUCUGAUGUGAAAGCCCACGGCUCAACCGUGGAGGGUCAUUGGAAACUGGAAAACUUGAGUGCAGAAGAGGAAAGUGGAAUUCCAUGUGUAGUGGUGAAAUGCGCAGAGAUAUGGAGGAACACCAGUGGCGAAGGCGACUUUCUGGUCUGUAACUGACGCUGAUGUGCGAAAGCGUGGGGAUCAAACAGGAUUAGAUACCCUGGUAGUCCACGCCGUAAACGAUGAGUGCUAAGUGUUAGGGGGUUUCCGCCCCUUAGUGCUGCAGCUAACGCAUUAAGCACUCCGCCUGGGGAGUACGACCGCAAGGUUGAAACUCAAAGGAAUUGACGGGGACCCGCACAAGCGGUGGAGCAUGUGGUUUAAUUCGAAGCAACGCGAAGAACCUUACCAAAUCUUGACAUCCUUUGACAACUCUAGAGAUAGAGCCUUCCCCUUCGGGGGGGGCAAAGUGACAGGUGGUGCAUGGUUGUCGUCAGCUCGUGUCGUGAGAUGUUGGGUUAAGUCCCGCAACGAGCGCAACCCUUAAGCUUAGUUGCCAUCAUUAAGUUGGGCACUCUAAGUUGACUGCCGGUGACAAACCGGAGGAAGGUGGGGAUGACGUCAAAUCAUCAUGCCCCUUAUGAUUUGGGCUACACACGUGCUACAAUGGACAAUACAAAGGGCAGCGAAACCGCGAGGUCAAGCAAAUCCCAUAAAGUUGUUCUCAGUUCGGAUUGUAGUCUGCAACUCGACUACAUGAAGCUGGAAUCGCUAGUAAUCGUAGAUCAGCAUGCUACGGUGAAUACGUUCCCGGGUCU